This 549-nucleotide ribosomal RNA is filed under the name Spumella sp. RNAcentral's name for it is "LSU rRNA". It matches the Rfam family "Eukaryotic large subunit ribosomal RNA", at positions 405 to 1006 of the family's 3401-position model. Lineage: Eukaryota; Chrysophyceae; Chromulinales; Chromulinaceae. The record is from RNAcentral.
UUGCUGAAUGGAACCGAUGGGAGGCAGUGUUGGCGUGCGGUCAUUCUUCGUUCCUCGCUCGCGGGGUGCGCGUGAUGCCGUUCGCAAGUCAGGCUUCCUUCGACGAGUGGGAGAGGUCCCAGACCUGUAUGGGCUGGGUUCGCCGUCACUUGUUGGAGGGACUUUGACGAAAUGCCUCUUAUCAACCCGUCUUGAAACACGGACCAAGGAGUCUAACAUGUGUGCGAGUGCUCGGGGUUUAUCCCCCAGCGCGGAAUUAAUGUGAAGGCCUUUUUGGCUGAGGUAGGAUGCUUCGGCUGCACUAUCGACCGACCAUGAUCCUUCGGGUGAAAGGUUUGAGUGUGAGCAUACAUGUUGGGACCCGAAAGAUGGUGAACUAUGCCUGAGUAGGGCGAAGCCAGGGGAAACUCUGGUGGAGGUCCGCAGCGAUUCUAACGUGCAAAUUGAUCGUCGAACUUGGGUAUAGGGGCGAAAGACUAAUCGAACCAUCUAGUAGCUGGUUCCUCCCGAAAUUUCCCUCAGGAUAGCUGCAACCGACCAGUUUUAUCA